AUCACUUCUCGGCCUUUUGGCUAAGAUCAAGUGUAGUAUCUGUUCUUAUCAGUUUAAUAUCUGAGAUAGCCUCUAUCUGAGGACAAUAUAUAUGUGGUUUCUCAAGUUACAUAAC
This 115-nucleotide small nuclear RNA is filed under the name Ictidomys tridecemlineatus (thirteen-lined ground squirrel). RNAcentral's name for it is "Spermophilus tridecemlineatus (thirteen-lined ground squirrel) U2 spliceosomal RNA". It matches the Rfam family "U2 spliceosomal RNA". Rfam says of the family: U2 is a small nuclear RNA (snRNA) component of the spliceosome (involved in pre-mRNA splicing). Complementary binding between U2 snRNA (in an area lying towards the 5' end but 3' to hairpin I) and the branchpoint sequence (BPS) of the intron results the bulging out of an unpaired adenosine, on the BPS, which initiates a nucleophilic attack at the intronic 5' splice site, thus starting the first of two transesterification reactions that mediate splicing. Lineage: Eukaryota; Metazoa; Chordata; Mammalia; Rodentia; Sciuridae. The record is from Rfam by way of RNAcentral.